GACGAACGCUGGCGGCGUGCUUAACACAUGCAAGUCGAACGGAAAGGCCCUGCUUUUGUGGUGUGCUCGAGUGGCGAACGGGUGAGUAACACGUGAGUAACCUGCCCUGUACUUUGGGAUAACUUCAGGAAACUGUGGCUAAUACCGGAUAGGAGCUCCUGCUGCAUGAUGAGGGUUUGAAAGUUUCGGCGGUUGGGGAUGGACUCGCGGCUUAUCAGCUUUUUGGUGGGGUAGUGGCUUACCAAUGCUUUGACGGGUAGCCGGACUGAGAGGGUGACCGGCCACAUUGGGCUUCAGAAACGGGCCAGAGUGAUACGGGAGGAAGCAGUGGGGAAUAUUGCAAAAUGGGCGGAAGGAUGAUGCAGCAACGCCGCGUGCGGGAUGACGGCUGUAGGGUUGUAACCAGCUUUAGACUGUGAAGAAGAGUGAGUGACGGUAAUGGGUCAAGAAGCACCGGCUAACUACGUG
This 468-nucleotide ribosomal RNA is filed under the name uncultured bacterium. RNAcentral describes it as "partial 16S ribosomal RNA". It matches the Rfam family "Bacterial small subunit ribosomal RNA", at positions 28 to 507 of the family's 1533-position model. The record is from RNAcentral.